RNAcentral lists this transfer RNA (65 nucleotides) under Uranoscodon superciliosus. RNAcentral's name for it is "tRNA-Cys". Lineage: Eukaryota; Metazoa; Chordata; Lepidosauria; Squamata; Tropiduridae. The record is from RNAcentral.
AAGCCCCGGAGCUCUUUUUGAGCUCGGUUUCAAACUUGCAAUUUGAUGUGGGCCACUUCGGGGCU